This 497-nucleotide ribosomal RNA is filed under the name uncultured bacterium. RNAcentral's name for it is "partial 16S ribosomal RNA". It matches the Rfam family "Bacterial small subunit ribosomal RNA", at positions 28 to 507 of the family's 1533-position model. The record is from RNAcentral.
GAUGAACGCUGGCGGCGUGCCUAAUACAUGCAAGUCGAGCGAACAGACGAGGAGCUUGCUCCUCUGACGUUAGCGGCGGACGGGUGAGUAACACGUGGAUAACCUACCUAUAAGACUGGGAUAACUUCGGGAAACCGGAGCUAAUACUGGAUAAUAUAUUGAACCGCAUGGUUCAAUAGUGAAAGACGGUUUUGCUGUCACUUAUAGAUGGAUCCGCGCCGCAUUAGCUAGUUGGUAAGGUAACGGCUUACCAAGGCAACGAUGCGUAGCCGACCUGAGAGGGUGAUCGGCCACACUGGAACUGAGACACGGUCCAGACUCCUACGGGAGGGAGCAGUAGGGAAUCUUCCGCAAUGGGCGAAAGCCUGACGGAGCAACGCCGCGUGAGUGAUGAAGGUCUUCGGAUCGUAAAACUCUGUUAUUAGGGAAGAACAAAUGUGUAAGUAACUAUGCACGUCUUGACGGUACCUAAUCAGAAAGCCACGGCUAACUACGUG